UUGGGAAUCUUGGACAAUGGGGGAAACCCUGAUCCAGCCAUGCCGCGUGAGUGAUGAAGGCCUUCGGGUUGUAAAACUCUUUCGACGGGGACGAUAAUGACGGUACCCGUAGAAGAAGCUCCGGCUAACUUCGUGCCAGCAGCCGCGGUAAUACGAAGGGGGCUAGCGUUGUUCGGAAUUACUGGGUGUAAAGGGCGCGCAGGCGGGAUAAAAAGUCAGUGGUGAAAUCCUACAGCUUAACUGUAGAACUGCCUUUGAUACUUUUAUUCUUGAGUUCGGGAGAGAGAGACGGAAUUCCAGGUGUAGUGGUGAAAUACGUAGAUAUCUGGAAGAACACCAGUUGCGAAGGCGGUCUCUUGGUCCGACACUGACGCUGAGGCGCGAAAGCGUGGGAGCAAACA
RNAcentral lists this ribosomal RNA (401 nucleotides) under uncultured bacterium. Its description in RNAcentral is "bacterial SSU rRNA". It matches the Rfam family "Bacterial small subunit ribosomal RNA", at positions 355 to 774 of the family's 1533-position model. The record is from RNAcentral.